CCGUCGUCAGUUCGUACUGUGAAGCAUCCUGUUAAGUCAGGCAACGAGCGAGACCCACGCCAACAGUUGCCUAGCUCGUCCUCCGGGAUGGUGGGGACACUGUUGGGACCGCCGUCUGCUAAAGAGGAGGAAGGAAUGGGCAACGGUAGGUCAGCAUGCCCCGAAUUAUCUGGGCUACACGCGGGCUACAAUGGGUGGGACAAUGGGUAUCGACACCGAAAGGUGAAGGCAAUCUCCUAAACCCAUCCGUAGUUCGGAUUGUGGGCUGCAACUCGCCCACAUGAAGCUGGAAUCCGUAGUAAUCGCGUUUCAACAGAACGCGGUGAAUACGUCCCUGCUCCUU
This 343-nucleotide ribosomal RNA is filed under the name uncultured Methanomicrobiales archaeon. Its description in RNAcentral is "bacterial SSU rRNA". It matches the Rfam family "Archaeal small subunit ribosomal RNA", at positions 998 to 1338 of the family's 1478-position model. The record is from RNAcentral. Lineage: Archaea; Methanobacteriati; Methanobacteriota; Methanomicrobia; Methanomicrobiales.